AACAAUAACAAACGGGAGGAGGAAGCGAUUCUGGGGUUUCUGUGUUGAACGGUUCUUGUCCGCGAAGAUGCGCUUCGGCCUCUGUCAGGGGACUUGAACGGGCUUAGUGGGCUUCAGCCAGCUUUUCUCCACCGGUUCCCCACGGGGACCCCCCCCCCCCCCCGGCCGUUGCAAUGGCGGGCGUGGGGCCGGGGGGCUACGCGGCGGAGUUCGUGCCACCGCCAGAGUGCCCCGUCUUUGAGCCGAGUUGGGAGGAGUUCACAGAUCCGCUCAGCUUUAUCGGCCGCAUCCGGCCUUUGGCGGAGAAAACCGGCAUCUGCAAAAUUCGGCCGCCCAAGAAUUUAAUUUUAGUUUUGGCAGAUUUCUUCAGUUUCCAAGGACUGGCAGCCUCCAUUUGCCUGUGAAGUAAAAAGCUUUCGUUUCACUCCAAGAGUCCAGCGCCUGAAUGAACUUGAGGCAAUGACCAGAGUGAGAUUGGAUUUCUUGGAUCAACUAGCAAAAUUUUGGGAACUUCAAGGAUCUACUCUGAAGAUCCCUGUGGUAGAGAGAAAAAUCCUGGAUCUGUAUGCUUUGAGCAAGAUUGUUGCCAGCAAAGGAGGUUUUGAAAUGGUCACCAAAGAGAAGAAAUGGUCUAAAGUGGGUAGUCGCUUGGGAUAUCUGCCAGGAAAAGGAACUGGGUCUCUUUUGAAGUCACAUUAUGAAAGAAUUCUCUAC
This 714-nucleotide long non-coding RNA is filed under the name Homo sapiens (human). Its description in RNAcentral is "HSALNT0184017". The record is from RNAcentral. Lineage: Eukaryota; Metazoa; Chordata; Mammalia; Primates; Hominidae.